GGUGGCUUAGUGGUAGAGUGCUUGCCUUGCAUGCAUGAGGCCCUGGGUUUGAUUCCCCAGCACCA
This is a non-coding RNA of Dipodomys ordii (Ord's kangaroo rat), 65 nucleotides long. NCBI's taxonomy places the organism in Eukaryota, Metazoa, Chordata, Mammalia, Rodentia, Heteromyidae. The record is from Rfam.